UACGUAGGGGGCAAGCGUUGUCCGGAUUCAUUGGGCGUAAAGGGCGCGUAGGCGGCGCGGUAAGUCACUUGUGAAAUCUCUGAGCUUAACUCAGAACGGCCAAGUGAUACUGCAGUGCUAGAGUGUGGAAGGGGCAAUCGGAAUUCUUGGUGUAGCGGUGAAAUGCGUAGAUAUCAAGAGGAACACCUGAGGUGAAGACGGGUUGCUGGGCCAACACUGACGCUGAGGCGCGAAAGCCAGGGGAGCAAACGGG
RNAcentral lists this ribosomal RNA (253 nucleotides) under uncultured bacterium. Its description in RNAcentral is "partial 16S ribosomal RNA". It matches the Rfam family "Bacterial small subunit ribosomal RNA", at positions 524 to 776 of the family's 1533-position model. The record is from RNAcentral.